GGGGGUUUAGCUCAGCGGCAUAAGCGCCUGCCUUGAAAGCAGGAGUCGUGAGUUUAAUCCCCA
This 63-nucleotide transfer RNA is filed under the name Cavia porcellus (domestic guinea pig). It matches the Rfam family "tRNA", at positions 1 to 62 of the family's 71-position model. From Rfam's summary of the family: Transfer RNA (tRNA) molecules are approximately 80 nucleotides in length. Their secondary structure includes four short double-helical elements and three loops (D, anti-codon, and T loops). The record is from Rfam by way of RNAcentral. Lineage: Eukaryota; Metazoa; Chordata; Mammalia; Rodentia; Caviidae.